GACAGAGGGUGCGAGCGUUGUUCGGAAUUACUGGGCGUAAAGCGUGCGUAGGUGGUGAGUUAAGUCUGUCGUGAAAGCCCCGGGCUCAACCUGGGAAUGGCGAUGGAUACUGGCUCGCUAGAGUGCGGUAGAGGAGAGUGGAAUUCCCGGUGUAGCAGUGAAAUGCGUAGAGAUCGGGAGGAACAUCAGUUGCGAAGGCGGCUCUCUGGACCAGCACUGACACUGAGGCACGAAAGCGUGGGGAGCAAACAGG
This 253-nucleotide ribosomal RNA is filed under the name uncultured bacterium. RNAcentral describes it as "partial 16S ribosomal RNA". It matches the Rfam family "Bacterial small subunit ribosomal RNA", at positions 524 to 776 of the family's 1533-position model. The record is from RNAcentral.